AAUACCGCAUAAGCGCACAGAGCCGCAUGGCUCAGUGUGAAAAACUCCGGUGGUGUAAGAUGGAUCCGCGUCUGAUUAGCUGGUUGGCGGGGUAGAAGCCCACCAAGGCGACGAUCAGUAGCCGGCCUGAGAGGGUGAACGGCCACAUUGGGACUGAGACACGGCCCAAACUCCUACGGGAGGCAGCAGUGGGGAAUAUUGCACAAUGGGGGAAACCCUGAUGCAGCAACGCCGCGUGAGUGAAGAAGUCAUUCGUGAUGUAAAGCUCUAUCAGCAGGGAAGAAAAUGACGGUACCUGAGUAAGAAGCCCCGGCUAACUACGUGCCAGCAGCCGCGGUAAUACGUAGGGGGCAAGCGUUAUCCGGAUUUACUGGGUGUAAAGGGAGCGUAGACGGCCAGACAAGUCUGAAGUGAAAAUCCAGCGCUUAACGUUGGAAGUGCUUUGGAAACUGCCGGGCUAGAGUGCAGGAGGGGCAGGCGGAAUUCCUAGUGUAGCGGUGAAAUGCGUAGAUAUUAGGAGGAACACCAGUGGCGAAGGCGGCCUGCUGGACUGCAACUGACGUUGAGGCUCGAAGGCGUGGGGAGCAAACAGGAUUAGAUACCCUGGUAGUCCACGCGGUAAACGAUGAUUAGGAGGUGUCGGGGGGCUAGAGCCCUUCGGUGCCGUCGC
This 670-nucleotide ribosomal RNA is filed under the name uncultured bacterium. RNAcentral describes it as "bacterial SSU rRNA". It matches the Rfam family "Bacterial small subunit ribosomal RNA", at positions 165 to 852 of the family's 1533-position model. The record is from RNAcentral.